GACGAAGGAUCCAAGCGUUAUCCGGAUUUAUUGGGUUUAAAAGGUGCGUAGGCGGAUUGAUAAGUCAGCGGUGAAAUCCCUCGGCUUAACCGAGGAACUGCCGUUGAUACUGUCAAUCUUGAUGUACAUUUGAUGUGGGCGGAAUGUGUCAUGUAGCGGUGAAAUGCUUAGAUAUGACACAGAACACCGAUUGCGAAGGCAGCUCACAAAACUGUAAACUGACGCUGAGGCACGAAAGCGUGGGUAUCAAACAGG
Molecule: ribosomal RNA, 255 nt
Filed under: uncultured bacterium
Lineage: Bacteria
Description: partial 16S ribosomal RNA
Rfam family: Bacterial small subunit ribosomal RNA
Source: RNAcentral